This 379-nucleotide ribosomal RNA is filed under the name uncultured bacterium. RNAcentral describes it as "bacterial SSU rRNA". It matches the Rfam family "Bacterial small subunit ribosomal RNA", at positions 790 to 1167 of the family's 1533-position model. The record is from RNAcentral.
GUAGUCCACGCCCUAAACGAUGGAUACUAGUCGUCGGAGUUCCUAAUCGCUCCGGUGACGAAGCUAACGCAUUAAGUAUCCCGCCUGGGAAGUACGGUCGCAAGAUUAAAACUCAAAGGAAUUGACGGGGGCCCGCACAAGCGGUGGAGCAUGUGGUUUAAUUCGAUGCUACGCGAAGAACCUUACCCAGGCUUGACAUCCCGCGCAUAGCCGUGAAAGCGGUGAAAUCUCUUCGGAGACGCGGUGACAGGUGCUGCAUGGCUGUCGUCAGCUCGUGUUGUGAGAUGUUGGGUUAAGUCCCGCAACGAGCGCAACCCUCGUCGCUAGUUACCAUCAUUAAGUUGGGCACUCUAGCGAGACCGCUGAGCUAUAAGCCAGA